AAGGAUUUAGCUUAAUGAAAGCGUUUGACUUGCAUUCAGAUGAUGUAGGAUAUCCUGCAAUCCUUA
RNAcentral lists this transfer RNA (66 nucleotides) under Eliomys quercinus (garden dormouse). RNAcentral's name for it is "tRNA-Ala". It matches the Rfam family "tRNA". From Rfam's summary of the family: Transfer RNA (tRNA) molecules are approximately 80 nucleotides in length. Their secondary structure includes four short double-helical elements and three loops (D, anti-codon, and T loops). Lineage: Eukaryota; Metazoa; Chordata; Mammalia; Rodentia; Gliridae. The record is from RNAcentral.